RNAcentral lists this long non-coding RNA (4064 nucleotides) under Sus scrofa (pig). Its description in RNAcentral is "lncRNA (ENSSSCG00065002453.1)". Lineage: Eukaryota; Metazoa; Chordata; Mammalia; Artiodactyla; Suidae. The record is from RNAcentral.
CAUUAUUGUAAUUAACGGUCAUUUGGGGUGUCCAAGACCUUCUGGAGUUGGCCUGGGCUAUUUGAGCUGUUGGUGUGCAUUUGACGUUUUCCGACUUCUUCCCUGAGUUCAAGUGGUCAGCCUCAUGCUGGCUGGUGUGCCUAGAACAUUCUUCCCGGCCUGGAGCUUUUUUUUUUUUUUGAAAAGAACACUUAUUAAAAUGUCUGCAGCUUUAAAAGUUGAGAGUAAAAUAACGAACUCCCAUAUACCCAUCAUCUAGAUUUUUAACAUUUUUGCUUCAUCGUUUUUUCUUUGUGGAAGGAUUCUCAAGCCAAUCCCAGACACCAUAACAUUCCCCUCCCAAAUAUUUCCGACUGCAUCUCUCAGAAAUAAAGACAUUUCUUGCAUAACCACAAGACCAUCGCCACGAUUCACAAACCCAACAGUAACUCUCAGUAUCAUCUAAUACUCAAACCAUAUUCAGAUUUCCCCACUUGAGUUCCUGUCGUGGCUCAGUGGUUAACGAAUCCGACUAGGAACCAUGAGGUUGCAGGUUCGAUCCCUGGCCUUGCUCAGUGGGUCAAGGAUCCGGCCUUACCAUGAGCUGUGGUGUAGGUCGCAGACGCGGCUCGGAGCCUGCAUUGCUGAGGUUCUGGCAUAGCCAGUGGCUACAGCUCCAAUUGGACCCCUAGCCUGGGAACCUCCAUAUGUCACAGGUGCAACUCUAGAAAAAGGCAAAAAACAACAACAACAACAACAACAACAACAACAAAAUUGGCUAUUUUAGGGGUCAGGAUAUCUGCAGGGAGCUGGGGAAAAAUAAUUGCUGCUAGUUACCAAGAGCUGAUGAAGCGAGUCUAAAGUAGGGAGGUGGGUUUUGAGUUCGGGUUUGUGAGAAGAGGGCCAAUCUGCAGGGGCUUAGAGAUGUCUCUGUCUUAGAGACAGAUGCUCUUUUACUUUCUUCUCUUUGCUUUGAUCUGCAGAGGCAAGGAGGCCAGGCGUGUGACUUCUAGAUCCCCAGUGGCUUUCAUGUGGGAGUAUGUAUCUGUUAGAAGAUAUUUAUAAAGCAGCUAAGUUGCCUGAGGUCGGCAAGGGAGGCCUCGGCCCCAGGGCCUCUUGGCUGUGGGUGUUCUAGUGUCUGGGCUGCAUGUUUUAUUCUCCACCGGCUUUCCUUUCUCCCUCUGUUAAUAAUCCAGCUUCCAUCCAGGCUUUGUGGGGGGAAGUAUUCCUUGGAGCUCCAGGCUCUGGGAGCUCACACGCGCACACACACACACACAUACACCUAGUCCCCUUGGGUGGCCUGGUUUCUUGCCAGAGGUAUGAUGAAUAAAUAUUGAUGUGCUGUGCCUGCCCCCCCUUGCAGCCCUGCCUCCACACUCAUCCUUCACGUAGGUGUUUCAAACAUGUUACAGGCUUCUAAUUUAGCUUCUCCAUCGAAAUCAAAGGUCCCUCACUGCAAUUUAAAUGCCACAGUGUACCCGUGGCUGGGGCUGACGUGGAUUGGAAAGUAGAGCUGUUCUGCAUCACGCAGCAUCAGCUGGACCACCAUAUGGCCCACAAUGCGGUGCUGAAAUGGGCUGCCAGCUUCAAGCUGGGCUGAGGAUGGAAUCGUGAGGCUGCCAGGAGGGGAGGGCUCUUCUAGGCAGGGACCUGGUUGUCAGGGGCUUCUGGGGGCUUUGGACCACUGGUUCAGGGCUUGGGACUAAGCAGCCACACUAUGUACAGAGAUGCCUUAGGUGACCCCCAAGGAGAGGGGACGGAGCUUGGACUCCAUUCAGCCCAGCACAGUCCUUCUGCUGUCCCCACCCCCUGAUAGCCCCCUUUGUGCAUCUCUUGUGGUCCCCAGCUCCAUCAGGGCACCAACCACCCUGGAUUAUAAAGGGCUCUUGCCUUGUCCUUCUCCUUCACUUGACAGGAAGAUGCCAGGGCCAGCGAUGUCCACCGUAUUGUCAUGUGGCCCACAGUGGCACUUAGUAAAGGUGCUGCAAAUACGUCACUGAAACCCAGGAAAUGGAGAGCAGGGAAGUGUCUUUGUGAUGGAUUAGGUUCAGCACUCCGUAGAGAGGCACAUCAGAGAUGGUUCUAAGCGUCCAACCUGCCGAUGACAUGGGGCUUCAUUUUAAUGUGACUGCUCCUAUCUUCUGUCUUGCUGAGAAACCCUCAUCCACGUCCUGUUUCUCACCUGUUCCUGCCUGGCAAAUCCCCACGAUAUUUAGUCCUCGGCUUUCUUAUGGCAGUUAGCAGGCCGUUUGGAAUAUUUCAGAUGUAACUUUGUCUUAGUCCUGAUCUGUAUUUACAGUGCGUGAGGGCAGCAUUUGCAUUUGAUUUCUCUUUGCAUCUUUCUUAGCCUUGGCACUGCAACUGACACAUACUAACAGGGACUCAGAUCUAGUUGUCCAUUGAGAUGCCAGGCUGCAUUUGGUGAGUGCUAAACAAAUGGCUCAGACAGUGGAUUUUUUUUUUUUUCACGUUCAGGGGAGGGGAGAGCUCCGUGGAUGCUGGAGGCAUUAGAAGAACCCUCCUAUGGGGGGUUGGAACUGAUUGGCAGGUGGAGAAUUGGGGAAGAUGGAGGGAGAGGUGCAGGAGGAGGACGGGCAGGAGAAGGAUGAAGAGGGAGAACAGGUUCGGUGUUGGCAAGAUCCGGAGAGACCUUGAAUCUCCACUGCUGGAUGUAAUUAAAAAGGUGUGGCUAAUUGGUUUAGAACCACAACUUCUGGGUGUUUACAAGACACACAGUGAACUGCCAAGAACUAUAUAGACUGACCACAGGGAAGGGUGGCUACAAAAUUCUUAAAACAUGAUGCUCAUUCCAAGUUCCUGGUGAGACUGAUGGGGGUGAGUCAGGUUGAAGCCGAGAUAAACAUUUACUUAUCAGAUAAAGAGCCACUCUAUCAUCUAGGGUCUUGGACUUUGAAAGCAUGUCUUAAAAUACCAGAUAAUAGCAGAAAGGAAGAAGAGGAUAAAGGGACUCUUGUCCCUGGGCUCUGGUGGUUUCACUGGAAAAGAAAUAUUGUGGUGGGUUGGAGAAGAUGGAAAAGUACAAAGUUCCAGGCUUCGAAAUGUGGUGAUUGUACAAUUGAGUUGGAAAACAGUUUGGCUCUGUCUUAAAAAGUUAAACAUAAACCUACCAUUUGAUCCAGCCAUUCCAUUCCUAGGUAUUUACUCAAGAGAAAUGAAAACAUAUGUCUCUACAAGGUCUUGCCCAGGAAUGUUCACAACGUCUUUAUUUGCAACAGUCCCAAGCUGGACACAAUGUGAAUGUCCAUCAAGUGAUGGGGGGAUAAACAAAUUGUGGUAUAUCUGUACAAUGGAAUACUAUUUAGCAAUAAAGAGGAAGAAAUGGUGGAAUCUCAAAAUAGUUAUAACUGGAUGGAAAAAGCCAGGUUCAAAAAAUGCGUACUAUAUGAUUCUAUCCACAUAAAAUUCUUGAAAGUGCAAACUAAUCUAUAGUGGCAGGAAGUAAAACAGUGGUUAUCUCAGAAUGAACUAUGCAGAAAGGGCAGGAGGAGUUCAUCGUAAAGGUGGAUGAGGAAAAUUUGGGGGCUGCAGGAUAUGUUCAUUAUCUUGAUGAUAGGGAUGGUUUUACAGGUGUACCUGUGUGUCAAAACGUAGGAGAGUUCACUCUUUGAAGGUGCCCAAUUUAUUGUCUGUUAAUUAUACCUCAUUAAAGCUGCUACAAAUAGAUAAAAGUGGUGAUUGAGAGAGUCAGUGCAGACUAAAUUAAACAAGUCAUAACUGCAAACUUACCCAUUCCUAAACUAGAAUGAAUUCAUUUCGGUGGAAACGAGAGGAGACAAAACAGACAACUUCAAGGAGGUUAGGAUAGCAGGGAAGGGCCAUUGUUAAAAGGGAGCACAAUGGGAGUUCCCGCUGUGGCUCUUCAGGUUAAGAACCCGACGUAGUAUCCCUGAGGAUGUGGGUUCAAUCCCUGGCCUCACUUAGUGGGUGAAGGAUCCAGCAAGCUUCAUCAUAGGUCACAGACGUGGCUCAGAUCUGGUGUUGCUAUAGCUGUGGCAUAGACUGGCAGCUGCAGCUCUGAUUCAACCCAUAGCCCGGGAACUUCUGUAUACCACAGGUGUGGCCCU